AAGAAAGUAAGAAAGGGCGCAUGGCGGAUGCCUUGGCUCACGGAGGCGAUGAAGGACGUGAUAAGCUGCGAUA
RNAcentral lists this ribosomal RNA (73 nucleotides) under Veillonella sp. Its description in RNAcentral is "partial 23S ribosomal RNA". The record is from RNAcentral. Lineage: Bacteria; Bacillati; Bacillota; Negativicutes; Veillonellales; Veillonellaceae.